Molecule: long non-coding RNA, 1442 nt
Filed under: Oreochromis niloticus (Nile tilapia)
Lineage: Eukaryota; Metazoa; Chordata; Actinopteri; Cichliformes; Cichlidae
Description: lncRNA (ENSONIG00000042675.1)
Source: RNAcentral
GAGAAAAAGUUCCUGCUUCUUUAAUUUAGAGAAGCACAGACAAGCAAAAAUGAACAUUCAAUCACUGAAUAUCAAGGGGGUUUGACUGAGGACCAAGACAAAGUAAACGAGGCAAUAGUUCAAUUUUACAGUAACAUUUACAAGUCAAACUAUUCAGCAGAGAAUGUGUUUCUGGAAAGUCUUAGCGCCGGGGUGUCGAAUUCAAGGCCUCAAGUGCCGGUGUCCUGCAGGUUUUAGAUCUCACCCUGGAUCAACACACCUGAAUCAAAUGAUUAGUUCAUUACCAGGCCUCUGGAGAACUUCAAGACAUGUUGAGGAGGUCGUUUAGCGAUUUAAAUCAGCUGUGUUGGAUCAAGGACACAUCUAAAACCUGCAGGACCCCGGCCCUCGAGGCCUGGAGUUUGACACCUGUGUCUUAGAGGCUUUAUUGGAACAUUGGACAAAGGUGUGAAGGAUCGUAUGGAGGGUAAACUUGCAACUGAAGAGCUGGACAAGGCAAUCGAACAAAUGCCCAGGGGUGAAGAGCCUGAGGCCGGUGACGGUCCAGUUCUACUCUACGUACAUCCUUACGGUGGCUCACAGGACAAGGCCACAUUCCUGUCCUGCCAGAAGAGAAACUUCAUAGUCUUCAUGCAGUUCAACCACACCUGUCAUAUUGUGUUCAUGCAGUCUGGAGCAUCUGGAGUAAACAAAAAACUAAAGCAGACACGUGUUACUUCAUCUUUUAUCUUUAUUAUUCUUAUUUUACGUUUCAUUGUUAGGUUAGGUUAGGUUAGGCAUUAGCUUCAUUGCCACUGAAAUCAGAGUUUUAGCAGUCCUUGCCAACUUCUCUCCCUCCUCCAUGUUACUGUGUCAGCAUCUAUUUAGGAUUGGGAGUGCAACAGAAAGUAAGGAAAUCCAAAGUACCAUUAAAACCAAGAGAGGAUCUUAUAUUUCAGAAGGAGAGAUUAUUAAAAAGAAUUCAAAACAAAUGACCUCGAUGCCAUACUUGAUUUAGGAACCCUAGAGAGCACACUUAUAAUUUGACCCUCUGAUGGGCCAAGCUACGACUGUCAGGGAUGGUGAUGUAGGCGCAGAGCAUGUGAGAGUGUGGUCAAAUAAAUGUCUCCAAAACUAGAUGAAGGCACAAGGAGAUCAAUGCAAGGUGUAGAGAUUCAGAGAUUCACCAGCUUCAGUCUUCAGUGGACAUUUCAUUUCUGGCACAAAUAUACCUGUAAAAGUUUUUAGAUUUAGGUUUUUGGUGACAAAACAAAGAUAUACAAUUUCAAUUUGAUAAUAUUUAAAAUAUAAUGAAAUAAAACAAGCUACAAUGGUGGCAAUAUGCUUGUUUGUUGUGCAGCAGUGUCCAGUAUGUUGGCUGAUAUACUUUUUUGCAUUUGAAAAUAAAAGUUGGAUUUUAACUCCAUUACAGGAAGUGAUGCUACCUCUUUUUGAAUCACACU